AAUGUUAAAUUCUUUUAAAAAAGAUAAGGGAUUUAAAUGGCGAAAGAAGCGGAAUGUAUCAAAGUGGACGACAAAACUUCGAUGUAGUCCGAGUUUUCUGCACAACCUCAAGAUACGCUUGGCCUUUUGAGGAUAGAGUACAUUACCUAGGAAUAAUUUUACAUUUCAAACGUUCGCAAAGAUGCGCGAAUAAUUAGAAAGGAAACUUGAUAUUCGAGGAAAAGAAGAAAGAAAGAACGACACAGAAGAAACCGACUCGAGAUGAUUUUAUCGCUUUAACCCGUGUAAAACAGAUGAUUAGUCGACUUGCGUGCAAAAAGAACAUUAUGUCUUGCUGUUAAUUAAUUCUCUUUU
Molecule: unclassified non-coding RNA, 354 nt
Filed under: Bombus terrestris (buff-tailed bumblebee)
Lineage: Eukaryota; Metazoa; Arthropoda; Insecta; Hymenoptera; Apidae
Description: misc RNA ENSBTSG00005028090.1
Source: RNAcentral